UAGGUCUAGGGCGGCGGGUUUGGGAGAGUGGGAAGGGGAGGUGUCGCUCGGUGGGGAUGGUAGGACCGCUCAGCGUGGCGGCGUUGGGAGAGGCGGGAGUAGAGCACGAGGGGUAGGGAAGUAGCACGAUGGGUUGCCCGAGGGAGGGAGAAGACGACGUGUUUUUGGUCGCUCUAGACCCCUCUACCCCCGUGUAACUAUAGCAGCAGUUGGAGCGGCUCGAACUAGGCCCCUCUGGUCCGGGGGCCGGGCGGCAUCACGACCUGCGACACCGACAGAGGAGGGUGACCAGCCUCUGCGCCCCGGACAGUGCGCGAAUGGGCCCCUACAGUGGCCAGCCGUGCUGGACAUGACGAAGGACGACCGGAGAGUGCCGGAGGAGGACCAGUGUCGAUGAGGCGCUGAGGUUUAACCGCCGUAACUUUUUUCCGUACAAAAAACACGAGCUUGAGGAACGAAGAAGGGAAACUAACAACCACCUACACACUCAAACACCAACGAGUCCGACCUCUCCAGCAGUUCGACGUUGUCCUCAUCAUCGGUAUAAUGAUGAUGAUUAAACACAUAUAAUGAAUGGUCCUGGAACUUGCUUAGGUUAAGAAAGAUCAAUAGAAGAAACAACAAGAAUUAAGGGGGGAGGGGACGAGGGACUAGGCCCGGACAAGGAUUAAAAAAAACAAACCAAAGGACACACUACGUAAAACCUAAACUACUACGUCCACUGAUCGGUAUCUACACCAGACCACAGGGUUCGAAGACGGAGCUCCAGCGCUACGAAGCGGUUCUUAGUACUGCCACGACGGAACACGGGCGGUGCGCGUCUUGACCCCCAGCACUCCUCCUUCUGUUCCGGUGUCUGCUCUUUAAGCUCUGCCGCCACCGUCGUUUAUAUUGAACUCGGACUAAUAAAAAAACGAUCGAACCACAAGACGAAAGUAUCCAAACCUCGAGGUUUAAAUUCGAAAACGAGACCUAGAAGUUAACUAGGUGUCCGAAGACUAGUAAGACUUGUUUACGAACUCGAGAAACAACAAACUACACUAAAACCUUUCAACAAACGAAAGGGAACUAGCUAAAGACUUAGAGGAGGGAAGAAAUCACCUCGAGGAACGUUCACAACACAAUUAAGUACCAAUUUAAGAUAAAACCACAACCG
Molecule: ribosomal RNA, 1156 nt
Filed under: Triticum aestivum (bread wheat)
Lineage: Eukaryota; Viridiplantae; Streptophyta; Magnoliopsida; Poales; Poaceae
Description: partial small subunit ribosomal RNA
Source: RNAcentral